GAUGAACGCUGGCGGCGUGCUUAACACAUGCAAGUCGAACGAAGAUGAUUAGAAUGAGAGCUUCGGCAGGUAUUUCUUUUCAUCUUAGUGGCGGACGGUGAGUAACGUGUGGGCAACCUGCCCUAUACUGGGGAAUAAUCACUGGAAACGGUGACUAAUACCGCAUGUCAUUGCGAGAGGCAUCCUCUUGACAAAGAAAGGUAGUAAUUCGGUAUAGGAUCGGGCCCGCAUCUGAUUAGCUAGUUGGUGAGAUAACACGCCCACCAAGGCGACGAUCAGUAGCCGA
RNAcentral lists this ribosomal RNA (286 nucleotides) under uncultured bacterium. Its description in RNAcentral is "partial 16S ribosomal RNA". It matches the Rfam family "Bacterial small subunit ribosomal RNA", at positions 28 to 290 of the family's 1533-position model. The record is from RNAcentral.